AUUUGUACAGUGCAGAGUCCCCAGGCCUCCACAAUGUCGGACCCUGCCUCCUGGCCCCACGCUCCUCCUUACCUGCUGCUGGCUCUGCUGUUGGGAGUUAUAGGUGUGUCAGAUGAGAUGGAACUGCAGGUGAUCCAGCCCGAGAAGUCGGUGUUUGUGGCAGCCGGAGAGACAGCCACUCUGCGCUGCACCCUGACCUCCCUGCUCCCCGUUGGGAAGGUCGAGUGGUUUAGGGGCACAGGGCCAGGCCGGGAGUUAAUCUUCAGUUCUGUUGGAUACCACCACUCCCCCCGAGUAACAACUGUUACAGACAUCACAAAGCGAAGCAACCUGGACUUUUCCAUCCGCAUCAGUAACAUCACCCCAGCAGACACAGGAACCUACUACUGUGUGAAGUUCAGGAAACGGGCUCCGGAUGUGGAGUUUAAGUCUGGACCAGGCACCCAGGUCAUCGUGAGCGCCAAACCCUCUCCCCCCGUGGUGUCGGGCCCCACGGCCAGGGCCACACCUGAGCAGACUGUGAGCUUCACCUGCGAGUCCCACGGCUUCUCCCCCAGAAACGUCACCCUGAAAUGGUUCAAAAACGGGAAGGAGCUGGCAGCCUCCCAGACCACCGUGGACCCAGAGGGAGACAGCGCUUCCUACAGCAUCUUCAGCACAACCACGCUGCCGCUGGCCCCAGGGGACGUUCGCUCCCAGGUCAUCUGCGAGGUGGCCCACGUGACCCUGCAGGGGGGCCCUCCUCUUCGUGGGACUGCCAACUUGUCCGAGACCCUCCGAGUUCCACCCACCUUGGAGGUUGCCCAGCAACCCGUGACAGGGGACCAGGUGAAGGUCAUUUGCCAAGUGAAGAAGUUCUACCCCCAGCGCCUCCAGCUGACCUGGCUGGAGAACGGACACGUGUCCCCAACAGAAAUGGCCUCGACGGCCUCGAACCUCAUAGAGAACAAGGAUGGGACCUUUAACUGGACAAGCUGGCUCCUGGUGAAUUUAUCCACCCGCAGGGAAGAUGUGGUUUUCACCUGCCAGGUGCAGCAUGACGGGCAGCCCCCGGUCACCAAAACCCAUACCCUUGUGGUCUCUGCCCACCAGAAGGACCAGGAAGCCCAUACGACCCACGAUCGAGAACUGUCCACUCCACUCUUGGUGGCUCUCUACCUGGGUCCCAAGCUGCUACUGCUGCUCGUCACUGUCUCAGUCAUCUAUGUCCACAGGAAGUAAUGGAUUGGCUGUGAGUUAUGGACAAGGAAGACAAGGCAAGGUCAGUCCAAGAAAGAGCCAGAUCAGUAAGAGGGGCAGCCCACAGGUCGUACAGGGUCACCGCCCACUUGGAGUAAAGAGCAGGUGUCCCAGGAGGAAAAUAGCACCCAGGACAAAGGAGACACGUGGAGAACAUUUCUGGAAUGAUGCACAGAUAAUGAAAUGUGAACAUGGGUCCACAGCUCCUUCCUUCCUCCCCUGCCACAUGCCAUCCUUGGUCUCUGCUGCCUCCUUCCUUCCCUGAGGGGCCCAGCCUAAGACAAGGAACAACUAGAAGCUUCCACAAAUCUGCCCCAAAUGUCAGCUUCCCCAGAGACCCACCUGCCCACAGUUCCUGCCGCUCCUCUCCCAGUCCUUGAUGCCCCCAGAGCUGGUCGUCAUACCUGGUCCUGAGCAGGGGCAAUAGAAUGUCUCUGGAGACUGACACAUGGAUAUCCUACUAGAAUGUGAGAAACAAGUCACAUGUACACACACCAGGCUAUCUCUUAUCCUUCUCCUGGGGACCAUGGUCAUGAAGUACACACUCAAGUCCAUGUUCUCACAGGUUAUUCCUGCCAACCCUCAGACUCCUAAGCCUUGGUGAGUUCUCCAAUGUCUCUCAAAUACAAAUGAAUCCCAUCCUGGUUGGAAGAAGAGAAGGGAUUCUCCUCCCUCUUUGCCUACAUGUCCUUCUACUCAAACCCACAGAGGAAUAUCUCUUCCUCUCCCUGUGAUGGGAACACUACCUCUUCUGUCACCUUCAUCCUUCCCGACCUCGUUGCUCAUGUACACGAGCUGGCAGUCCAGAAACCUGGACCCUUCCCUGAUUUCCUUCUUCAUAUCCUGUGUUCAAUUCUGCCUUCAUAAAGCUAUGUGCAGUGGCAAGAUGGUAAAUGUUCAACAAUCCACUUCUCAGGAGGAAAAAGAAGCCCGAUUUGUAGUGCUCGUCCACUUCAGUGGUGUCUACACUCCUAAUGUGGCCAAUUUCAAGCUGCCAACAGUGGAACAACUAGCUUGCAAAAUUCCUGGAAAGCUCUCAGGAGCAAGGGCAAGCCUCCUCCCACCCACCAGGGAGCUCCACCCAGCACCUGCACACUGCUCGCUCCCGGGCUGCCCCCUGGUCCCGGCCACCAGCAUCCCUUCCUGGACCAUUGCCGCGUCCCUAACAGACUCUCCAGGUUCCGCCACAGUGAUCCUAUGGAAAUAGAGGUCAAAUUGUCUCCCUUCUGUGCUUCUUCCCCCUACAGAUGUGCAUGGCUCGGUCUCUCCCCCUUUCAAGCUCUGCUGAUAUGUCUCUUUAUGAAAAGCACCUUCCAAAAACCACCCCAUGUAAAAUAUCAAUUCCACUCUCUCACUCUGCAUUCCCACAGCUCAUACCUGAAUUGAACUACUUCCCUAGAACUUAAGAUCAGCCAACUUGAUAAAUGGAAACAGUGCUCACUUUGCACAGUGAUGCAGGACCAAAACAAUGACGGUGCAGCUGAAACCAUGAAAAGUGAUGCCAGUAAUCAGUGGGAAAAGUAAUGAUUUUUCUGUGACCUUUAGAAACUUUUUUCAACAUCUCAGAAACCCUCCAACAGUCAGUUAUGAAUGUAUCGGGACAUAAAAAAACAGUAAAACUAUUAUGCACUUGG
This is an RNA transcript of Leopardus geoffroyi (Geoffroy's cat), 2873 nucleotides long. It is a transcript of the gene named signal-regulatory protein beta-1-like, with no coding region annotated. The transcript has 6 exons. Lineage: Eukaryota; Metazoa; Chordata; Mammalia; Carnivora; Felidae. The record is from RefSeq and is a predicted model, not a curated record.